ACCCGCUGAACUUAAGCAUAUCAAUAAGCGGAGGAAAAGAAACUAACAAGGAUUCCCCUAGUAACGGCGAGUGAAGCGGGAAGAGCUCAAAUUUGUAAUCUGGCGGUCUCUGGCCGUCCGAGUUGUAGUCUGGAGAAGCGUCUUCCGCGCCGGACCGUGUAUAAGUCUCUUGGAACAGGGCUUCAUAGAGGGUGAGAAUCCCGUCUUCGACACGGACUGCCGGUGCUUUGUGAUGCGCUCUCGAAGAGUCGAGUUGUUUGGGAAUGCAGCUCAAAACGGGUGGUAAAUUCCAUCUAAAGCUAAAUAUUGGCGAAAGACCGAUAGCGAACAAGUACCGUGAGGGAAAGAUGAAAAGCACUUUGGAAAGAGAGUUAAACAGUACGUGAAAUUGUUGAAAGGGAAACGAUUGAAGUCAGUCGCGUCUCCCGGGACUCAGCCCCGCUUCUGUGGGGUGCACUUCCCGGGGCGACGGGCCAGCAUCGAUUUCGACCGUCAGAGAAAGGUCGGGGGAAUGUGGCACCUUCGGGUGUGUUAUAGCCCUCGGUCGCAUGUGACGGUCGGGAUCGAGGAUCGCAGCACGCCUUCAUGGCCGGGGUUCGCCCACGUAACGUGCUUAGGAUGCUGGCGUAAUGGCUUUAAACGACCCGUCUUGAAACACGG
Molecule: ribosomal RNA, 660 nt
Filed under: uncultured fungus
Lineage: Eukaryota; Fungi
Description: eukaryotic LSU rRNA
Rfam family: Eukaryotic large subunit ribosomal RNA
Source: RNAcentral